AGCAGCCGCCGCGGGAAAACGUAGGUGGCAAGCGUUGUCCGGAAUUAUUGGGCGUAAAGCGCGCGCAGGUGGUUUAAUAAGUCUGAUGUGAAAGCCCACAGCUCAACCGUGGAGGGUCAUUGGAAACUGUUAAACUUGAGUGCAGGAGAGAAAAGUGGAAUUCCUAGUGUAGCGGUGAAAUGCGUAGAGAUUAGGAGGAACACCAGUGGCGAAGGCGGCUUUUUGGCCUGUAACUGACACUGAGGCGCGAAAGCGUGGGGAGCAAACAGGAUUAGAUACCCCCGUAGUCCCUGUCUCUUAUAC
This 303-nucleotide ribosomal RNA is filed under the name uncultured bacterium. RNAcentral describes it as "partial 16S ribosomal RNA". It matches the Rfam family "Bacterial small subunit ribosomal RNA", at positions 507 to 807 of the family's 1533-position model. The record is from RNAcentral.